ACGCUGGCGGCGUGCCUAACACAUGCAAGUCGAACGGAGAUUACGGACGGAAGUUUUCGGAUGGAAGACUGUAAUUCUUAGUGGCGGACGGGUGAGUAACGCGUGGGCAACCUGCCCUAUACAGGGGGAUAGCAGCUGGAAACGGCUGGUAAGACCGCAUAAGUCGGCGAGACCGCAUGGUUUUGCCGGGAAAUGAGCAAUCAGGUAUAGGAUGGGCCCGCGUCCGAUUAGCCAGUUGGCAGGGUAAAAGCCUACCAAAGCAACGGUCGGUAGCCGGACUGAGAGGUCGGACGGCCACAUUGGGACUGAGACACGGCCCAAACUCCUACGGGAGGCAGCAGUGGGGGAUAUUGCACAAUGGAGGAAACUCUGAUGCAGCGACGCCGCGUGAGUGAAGAAGUAUUUCGGUAUGUAAAGCUCUAUCAGCAGGGAAGAUGAUGACGGUACCUGACUAAGAAGCCCCGGCUAACUACGUGCCAGCAGCCGCGGUAAUACGUAGGGGGCAAGCGUUAUCCGGAUUUACUGGGUGUAAAGGGAGCGCAGGCGGUUUGGCAAGUUGAGAGUGGAAGCAGGGGGCUCAACCCCCUGACUGCUCCCAAAACUGUUAAACUUGAGUAUGGGAGAGGCAGGCGGAAUUCCUAGUGUAGCGGUGAAAUGCUUAGAUAUUAGGAAGAACACCGGUGGCGAAGGCGGCCUGCUGGACCAAAACUGACGCUGAGGCUCGAAAGCGUGGGUAGCAAACAGGAUUAGAUACCCUGGUAGUCCACGCUGUAAACGAUGAAUACUAGGUGCUGGGAGGCAUAAGCCUUUCGGUGCCGUCGCAAACGCAUUAAGUAUUCCACCUGGGGAGUACGUUCGCAAGAAUGAAACUCAAAGGAAUUGACGGGGACCCGCACAAGCGGUGGAGCAUGUGGUUGAA
Molecule: ribosomal RNA, 919 nt
Filed under: uncultured bacterium
Lineage: Bacteria
Description: bacterial SSU rRNA
Rfam family: Bacterial small subunit ribosomal RNA
Source: RNAcentral